This 254-nucleotide ribosomal RNA is filed under the name uncultured bacterium. RNAcentral's name for it is "partial 16S ribosomal RNA". It matches the Rfam family "Bacterial small subunit ribosomal RNA", at positions 524 to 776 of the family's 1533-position model. The record is from RNAcentral.
UACGUAGGGUGCGAGCGUUGUCCGGAAUUAUUGGGCGUAAAGAGCUCGUAGGCGGUGUGUCACGUCGGCCGUGAAAACCUGCAGCUUAACUGUGGGCGUGCGGUCGAUACGGGCAUCACUGGAGUUCGGCAGGGGAGACUGGAAUUCCUGGUGUAGCGGUGAAAUGCGCAGAUAUCAGGAGGAACACCGGUGGCGAAGGCGGGUCUCUGGGCAUUCCCUGACGCUGAGGCGCGAAAGCGUGGGGAGCAAACGGG